GUUAUUCCUGCAUCCUAUCAUUUAUUUGAGUUUACAAACCUUUGCUCUCUUUUGAGUCAUCUCUCUAUUUGUAUACAUGAUGUUUUUCAUUUUCACUUUGAUACUUGCCUGAGCAGCCACUAGCUUGUACUCUAGUUAUAUUAGCAUAGAUGAAAGUCAUUGAAGAGAAGUUUAUUAUUAUUUCACUGAGCAUGAUUCUUUCAAACCCACAAGAAAGUGUUGAAAGGCCGAAGAUCAACCAGCAUCCAAACUGGUUAAAUGGAGGGUUAAUUUAUGGCCCCGCAUGUUCUUCGGUUGGGAAGGGAGCAUUUGCUGAGCAUGGUCCUUACCAGCUGGAAUAGAGAAGCGAACAUGCUAUACUUGGAUUCUCCGGCUAGUGUUGGUUUCUCUUAUUCGACCAACACCUCUGAUCAUCUCUUUGCGAAUGAUGAACUUGCAGGUAGUUUUUCUUACUUCUUUUCCCUCAAGGAACCAUUGCUCAGACAAUCUGAAGCUAACUUCUUUACUUUAGUUUGGAAUUCUAUUUAUGAAAUAACCUUUCUAUUUAAAAAUGUAAGUUCAAUUGUAAAAUAGAAUUCCAUUUAAAAUGAAAUAAUCUUUAGUUUUAUCAUCUGUAUUUCAGAUAAGUUCUUUAACUUUCAUUUUACUAUCUAUAUUAUUCCGUCAAACUAAUUAUUUUUAUUGUUGGUGGGUGGACAUCCUCAAAUUUGAUAAUGUCAAAAGAGCGAGUCAUUCUGCUGCGUUCUCUCAACCAGCAAGGGCAUUGAAGAUGAUAAAGACCUUUUUAGAACGCAAAUCACUAUAAAAUUAACUUUCUUAAUUUAACAUCUGUAAAUUUGUGUUUUUAUGACUUUCUUAUUUGAAUACAAUCAUAUAAAAAUUUUGUUCAUUUUUUAGUUCGGUUGAUAACAUUAGCGCAACAAUUCAAGGGCAUUGAAGAUAGAAGACAAAUCACUAUAAAAUUAACUUUUUCUUAAUUUAACAUGUGUAAAUUUGUGUUUUUAUGACUUUCUUAUUAGAAUACAAUCAUAUAAAAAUUGUGUUCAUUUUUUA
Vicia villosa (hairy vetch) is the source of this 1053-nucleotide long non-coding RNA. RefSeq lists it as uncharacterized. NCBI's taxonomy places the organism in Eukaryota, Viridiplantae, Streptophyta, Magnoliopsida, Fabales, Fabaceae. The transcript has 4 exons. The record is from RefSeq and is a predicted model, not a curated record.